GACGAACGCUGGCGGCGUGCCUAACACAUGCAAGUCGAGCGGAGAAACAAAAGAGCAGCUUGCUGCGAUUUGUUUCUUAGCGGCGGACGGGUGAGUAACGCGUGGGUAAUCUGCCUCAAACAGGGGGAUAACACAGGGAAACUUGUGCUAAUACCGCAUAAGACCCCACCAUGGCAUCAUGGAGAGGUCAAAGGAAGAAAUUCCGGUUUGAGAUGAGCCCGCGUCUGAUUAGCUAGUUGGUGAGGUAACGGCUCACCAAGGCGACGAUCAGUAGCCGAACUGAGAGGUUGAUCGGCCACAUUGGGACUGAGACACGGCCCAGACUCCUACGGGAGGCAGCAGUGGGGAAUAUUGCACAAUGGGGGAAACCCUGAUGCAGCGACGCCGCGUGAAGGAAGAAGGCCCUCGGGUUGUAAACUUCUUUGACCAGGACGAAGAAAGUGACGGUACCUGGAGAACAAGCCACGGCUAACUACGUGCCAGCAGCCGCGGUAAUACGUAGGUGGCGAGCGUUGUCCGGAAUUACUGGGUGUAAAGGGCGUGUAGGCGGGUUCUUAAGUCAGAUGUGAAAUCCCGGGGCUCAACUCCGGAGCUGCAUCUGAACUGGGAAUCUUGAGUGCUGGAGGGGAAAGKGAAUCUAGUGUAGCGUGAAUGCGUAGAGAUUAGAGACACAGKGCGAGCGCUUUCUGGAACAGUACUGACGC
Molecule: ribosomal RNA, 704 nt
Filed under: uncultured Bacillota bacterium
Lineage: Bacteria; Bacillati; Bacillota
Description: bacterial SSU rRNA
Rfam family: Bacterial small subunit ribosomal RNA
Source: RNAcentral